GGUUCAGGAUGAACGCUGGCGGCGUGCUUAACACAUGCAAGUCGAACGGAGUACUUACGCUGACAAAGCUUCGGCAGAGUCUUGUAAGUACUUAGUGGCGGACGGGUGAGUAACGCGUGGGUAACCUGCCUUAUACCGGGGGAUAACGUCUGGAAACGGACGCUAAUACCGCAUAAGCGCACGAUGAGGCAUCUUGUUGUGUGAAAAACUCCGGUGGUAUAAGAUGGACCCGCGUCUGAUUAGAUAGUUGGUGAGGUAACGGCCCACCAAGUCAACGAUCAGUAGCCGGCCUGAGAGGGUGAACGGCCACAUUGGGACUGAGACACGGCCCAAACUCCUACGGGAGGCAGCAGUGGGGAAUAUUGCACAAUGGGGAAACCCUGAUGCAGCGACGCCGCGUGAGUGAAGAAGUAUUUCGGUAUGUAAAGCUCUAUCAGCAGGGAAGAAAGACUCGCAAGAGAGAUGACGGUACCUGACUAAGAAGCCCCGGCUAACUACGUGCCAGCAGCCGC
This 512-nucleotide ribosomal RNA is filed under the name uncultured bacterium. RNAcentral's name for it is "bacterial SSU rRNA". It matches the Rfam family "Bacterial small subunit ribosomal RNA", at positions 21 to 518 of the family's 1533-position model. The record is from RNAcentral.